GUGCACCAGGCGUGGGUGGAUUUACCCCCAUCCGUGUCUGAGCUAACGCCAUUAAGUGCACCGCCUGGGAGUACGGUCGCCAAGAUUAAAACUCAAAGGAAUUGACGGGGACCCCCACAACCGGUGGACCAUUGGCUUAAUUCGAUGCAACGCGAAAAACCUUACCUAGACUUGACAUAUAGCUGCAUACGACCCGAAAGAGACGUACCCUUCGAGGGUGCUAUACAGGUGCUCCAUGGCUGUCGUCAGCUCGUGCCGUGAAGUGUUGGGUUAAGUCCCGCAACGAGCGCAACCCCUGUGUUUAGUUCCCAGCACGUAAUGGUGGGAACUCUAAACAGACUGCUGGUGAAAACCAGAGGAAGGUGGGGAUGACGUCAAGUCAGUAUGGUCCUUAUGUCCAGGGCUGCACACGUGCUACAAUGGGCGAUACAAUAGGAAGCCAAGCCGCGAGGUGGAGCAAAUCCUCAAAAUCGCCCCCAGUU
This 482-nucleotide ribosomal RNA is filed under the name uncultured Verrucomicrobiae bacterium. RNAcentral's name for it is "bacterial SSU rRNA". It matches the Rfam family "Bacterial small subunit ribosomal RNA", at positions 811 to 1293 of the family's 1533-position model. Lineage: Bacteria; Pseudomonadati; Verrucomicrobiota; Verrucomicrobiia. The record is from RNAcentral.